CACAGAUUCAAACCCAAACAAGGAUGAAGUCUAGCGUGUGUGAGGCCCUCAAGUCAUGCACAGUGCCAAACUCUUUCACACCCUUGGAUAUAAUAAUAAAAAAAAUUAGCGGUGGAGUUUUUUGAGAGUGUAGGAUAGUCACAAAGUAGAGAAAGAGAAUAAAGUUGGCAUCACUUUAACAACAAUUUUUUUUUUAUCUUCAAUUCUUUAUUU
Molecule: long non-coding RNA, 213 nt
Filed under: Glycine max (soybean)
Lineage: Eukaryota; Viridiplantae; Streptophyta; Magnoliopsida; Fabales; Fabaceae
Description: long non-coding RNA (GMAX_LNC000962)
Source: RNAcentral